UCUAUACAUUUCCCGCUCCCAGUCCACCCGUCAUAUCGAAAUGUGUCGCGGAAGGUUCAGCCCUCCCGCGUUAUUGCUAAAUUCCGCCAGGCUAACCCGAUAUAUGUCAAUGACAGUGCUCAUAAAAACGGGAGAACGAGGAACAAGAUCAAUGUCAGGUUACAACAGUACUGACAGAAUAAAUAAUUAUUCAGAAACACAUUGUGUAGCGGGGCCAACAAUAAUCAUCAGCACCGCCACACGUUAGCUUAUUCCAUUGGAUGCGAAGGAACACCCCAGAACAACGCCGUACAGUUUCGAUCCUGUUAUAAUAGUACAACUAUAACGGAGAAGAUUCCCGCAACAAUCUUCUUACUUUCUUUAGACAAUUCCUUUAAUGGGAAGACCACUGCACGCAUUACAAGGAUUGAGUUAUCACCCAGUGUCGACACACAGUAUCGACCAAAGUGAUGGCGAUCACAACUCUAUAAACAACCACCACAGUAUUAUACCGAGGCAGUAUUUAAGUCUGCCCAGCUGUCAUAAAUACCUUUUAUAUUGAGGUUAUAAAAAGCGGCAGUGCACGGGGAGUAUAUUUUACUUUUAUAUAUCAAUCAAUAAUACAAUUCCAUGCUACUCAUGGCCAGACGAACUCAGUAUUUUGUUAUUACUGUUAUUAUUAUAUCAGUCAAUCAAAUAUAUAUUAUAUUAGCCUGUGUUAAGUUUAUAUUUAACAAUAUUUAUACCGUAAUACCUGUGAGUGUAUACUACAGCCAAUUAUUUCUCUUUUCCAGGUUUAUACACUUAGUGCAUUGAGAGUCGUCACUAAAGUCAAAUAAAUAACUACAAUGAUCCGUCUCAAUGCAGCAGCAAUUAAGUUUAGUAACGUCGCAGCUGAUCUGCAACCAGUUCAGGCAUAAGACAGGUCGAUCAAAUUAUCACCAUUAAUUACAAUAUAUGCUCGCAAUUACACAGAAAUUGCGUGUCAUGCAUCCAGUACGCAGUACCAAAAUCAACCAAUAAUCCUAUUAUAAUAUAUAAGGAGAGUAUUUAUUCACAAUUAUUAUCGUGAAAUAUGCCUCGAUUCGAUAAAAUAUAUAAAUUAUCACUAUUAAUUACAGUAAUUAUAUCACCGAGCUCAUUUUAAUUUAGUUAAUUUAAGUAAAUUAUUGCCCUUACGCAAGAAAGAAACUACUAGCUAUAUUUAUUCACUUAUCUGUCUAUUUACUUAUUGUCUUAUAUAUACACAAUAUAGGCA
RNAcentral lists this long non-coding RNA (1237 nucleotides) under Camponotus floridanus (Florida carpenter ant). RNAcentral describes it as "uncharacterized LOC105247804, transcript variant X1". The record is from RNAcentral. Lineage: Eukaryota; Metazoa; Arthropoda; Insecta; Hymenoptera; Formicidae.